GGCCACCUGGGCAUCAUGCAAUGGCUGAAGAGUUUUCUGGAUACUGUUACUUCAAUAACAUAGCCAUCACAACACACAUUGCUUUAAAGAAAUAUAACCUUGAAAGAAUUCUGAUUGUUGACUGGGAUGUACAUCAUGGCCAAGGAACUCAAUUUGCUUUUUAUGAUGACCCAAGAGUGCUGUUUUUCUCCAUACACCGCUUUGAGCAUGGUGAAGAAUGGCCACACUUGCGAGAGUCUGAUUAUGACUAUAUAGGACAAGGAAAAGGAAAAGGCUUUAACGUCAAUGUUCCCUUAAAUGAGAUUGGUUGUGAUAACAGCGACUACCUUGCAAUAAUGUUCAAUGUACUGCUUCCUUUGGCCUAUGAGUUUCAACCUCAGCUGGUACUCGUUUCUGCUGGCUAUGACAGUGCUGUUGGAUGUCCUGAGGGCCAGAUGACUGUCACUCCAGCCUGUUUUGCUCACUUUGUGAACCUGUUGAAAACAUUAGCAGGUGGAAAAAUUGUUUUGCUGCUGGAGGGGGGUUACUGUGUAAGAACCCUGGCAGAGGCAUCUGCUCUUUCUUUGCGAGCUCUUUUAGGAGAUCCAACACCAAACAUAUCGCCUAUUACUGGAGCUAGGAAAAGUGUAGUGGAGUCUGUUCUAAACGUGAUCAAAAUGCACCGGGCUGUCCACCCUAGCCUGGCUUUUCAAGACACACAGCAAGAAGGAAAAGAAGUCGGCCACAGUUGGCAGACCUACUUGCCACCUGAGCAUAAUAUCCAGUGCAGAACAAAGUAUAAUCGACCAGAGCAGUUUCCUCUGAUGCAAGAAUGCUUUGAUGAAGUGUCAGAUGCUGUCCAACAACAAAUAAAUCAGCAAAUUGAGCAGCUUGAGCAAGAUACAAUCCUCUCAAGACCAGCCCACAGGACUGGUUUUCUUUAUUAUCAAGACUUACAUCAAAAUGGCAAAAAUGGAAGUGUUUGGGAUAAAGCAAACACAAAAGAACUACUAUCACGAUGUCAUGUGGUGCCAAUCACACAUGAUGACAAUAAAAACAGCAUGGAAGCAUGUGUCUCAUCUGCGAUAGAUGCUAUUUUGGAAAAUACAGUUGGAUCCUGCAUUCUUCUUCCAUGUGGAACUUAUUCUGAGGGGACAACACAGGAUCUGUGUUACACAUUUGCUAAUGCUCUUGAAGCUUGUAUACACAAAAAUUCUCAAAUUAAAAGAACCCUGGUUCUAAAUCUUGCAGUGGGUGAGGAUGAACCUUUACUGACCUCCUUUGCUGGUACUAAAUCCUGCAUGGUUGUCUUAUCUGUGGGGCUCAGUCCAGUUGAAAAAAGAGCCAAAGAUCCUAGCUGGAGGCACAUUAUUCAAGUUCCUCUGACCACUAGCCAGAUGAAGAAUGGGGACCUGAUUUCAGUUGGCCUACAGGUGUUGUUACCCAUUGCUUAUGAGUUUGCUCCUGAUCUUGUUGUCUUCUGCCUGGGAUCUUCAGAAAAAAAAAUCAGUCAGGCUGAGGGUCAGACAGACUUGACUUGCAUGGCUCACCUGCUGACAAUGCUGAACGGGUUAGCCAGGGGACGCAUGCUGCUGUUUGUGAAGCCAUCAGCAGAAGUACAAGAGUUUGGCGUUGUGAUGGACUGCAUUUCAGCAUUGCUGGGUGAUCCUCUCUCCAUUCUGCAGCCCUGUCUCCCCCAGCAAAGUUGAGGUGAUCAAGACACUGCAGGACAAAUACAAGUCAUCAUGGAGAACCCUACAGUUUAGAGAAAAGCUGCCCUCACCCAGGCAGACCCUAGAGGAAAGUGUCUAACAACUCUAUGAGACGUCUGUCACACUCAUGACAUUUAGGUUUUUAUUCUCUACAGGACUCAUAUCUCUUUCAUUAGGAGAAAAAGAGUUUUGUUUAAUGUUCACCAUGCACAUUAUGUGUAUUCCAAGUAAAGCUUAAUUUAUUUGUAGAUUGGUACUUGAUUUAUUCAUUCAUGAUGAAUGUGGUAGUUUUGUUGUAAAAGUUUGUUACUUAUUUCAUUUUCAAAUGAUACAUACAGAACUCUUGUUGUGCUAAAGAUCAUGACACUGUUGUUGUUAAGAACAUGUAGAAUUCUGUAGUCAUAUUCUAAUUCUAUUAUUUUAAGACAGUUGCAACUACUUAACGGAUUUUUAUGAACUGAAAGCAUUUCAUUGUUUAUUCUUUUCCUGUACAUUAUUUCCUUUUGGUGCUUGUAGUUUUUAAGCUGAAUUUUGCUGUACAUUUUUGAAACAACAAAAUAAGUACAUUUCCUUGAUCUGCCCUCAUGUUUAAUAUCUUGCAUUAGCUGUUAGCCAGUUAGACUGCGUGUGGAAAUCAUGCUUGCUUGUGAACAGUAGUAUUGCCAUUUGAUUAUGUUUUUUAUAUUUAUUUGUUUAUGGUGUACAAUAUUUUUUAUUCAGUUUUGAAUUCCUUAAGCUCAGUAAUAUUCACAACUGGAGAAGUGAAAUAGCAAAAAAAACCAUCAAAUAUAUGAUGCUGCUUGAUGCUGGUCUUCAGAAUUCUCAUCACAUUUCAAAAACAGCAUGAUGUUGUUCAAUACAUCUAGCCUACAAAUAAUGAUGUGAUUUUCUUACUUCUGAACCAGGACAGCCUAAUUUAAGAAUUUUAUUGUCAAAAUUUGUGUUUAUUCAUAUUUUUUAAGCAUUGAGGCACUUAUUGGUCCACACCAGAUGUUUUGUCCGUUCACUACUCUUUCUUAAUAAUUUUCCUUCAUUUCACUCAGGGAAUAAUAAACUGUCAUCUGCUCACUCUGUGGUAGUUUUAUUUUAGCUUUGAUGUAAAUAAUUGUAAGAUGUAACCAAAAUUGGACUAAAUAUUAGCUAACUCAGGAAUUGUAACUUGCGCCAUUGACAGUUUCAUACCAUGGGAAGCAAAAUAUCAAAUAUACUCCCCAAGUCUUUGUAACAAUAUUGAAAAUACUUGGCAGCAAAAUUGUUUUCUCAUUCAGCGAUCAUGUAUACUAGACUGGAUCAUGCAAAUUGGGUCAUGUAAACACAGGUGGGUUAUAUGAUAUUGUUCUUUUUACUACGAUUGAAAAAUCUUGGAUAUUUAUGUAUUUGUAAAGCCUGCUAAUGACCAUGUUACUUGUUGAAUGAACAUUUUUCUCAGAAAUUAUUGUGAGCAUCUUUCAAUCAUACUGAUGUAGGUUAUGGUUGUUAAAUAUUUCACAGGCUCUUACUGCUCAUAAACCAACAAGCAGAUGACUUCUUUGUAAUGUCCUGUUUCUGUUCCUAUACACAUUUCAGUAUGGCUUCUUACUGGAUGUAUAAAGUUAUGAUCACUUUUAAAAUAUUUAUUUCCUUUUUACAUGGCCUUUAGGAGCUGAUAUCAUUAAUUUUUGUUCUAUGCAUAUAAAACAAGUGGUUUUAGUUUUAUUUCAAAGCAAUAGUAAUUGCAGGAUGUAUUGUUCAGAUUUAGAUUUCAUUGUAGAAACCUAGUCAUCUCUGUUCUUGAUGAAAUUGUAAUUGUGAGCGUCGUUAAAAUCUUGCAAGAUUCUGGGCAAAGAUGUAGCCGAACUUCCAUUAUGCCCAUUCUUGUGAUCCUAGUGAAUGCUACUUUCUGGCCAACCUUGCAUUUUUUAAGCUGCUUUGGAGGGGAAAAUGGAAUCCCCUGCAUAUAUAACUUAUAUUUAACAUGCAUAACUUGUGUGAAUAUGCUUACUUUUAGUUUAUGAUUAAAGUGGGCUGGAUUUCUCUGAGGUAGAAUGGUGAAAGAGGUACUUGUAAUGCUGGUAAUAUGCCCCAUGAAGCAUCUCACCUUUUGUUUUUGGAGAGGUCUUUAGUAUGAAACUUGGUUGUGUAGGCACUUGUUUUAAAAGUAUUUUGAAAACAUAAAUAAUGUAUGUGUUGAGAGAAAUAUUGCCUGAUGGUUUCUUUUGCUUUAUUGUGAAACCGGUGCAUGUGUGUGGAUUUUUACAUUUUGUUGUCCCUCUGUCAAAAAUCUUUCAGUUUUGUGAAAGCAAAGUGGUUCUGGUCGUUACUUGAAAAUCUGUGUUCAUACUUCAGCGAUUGAAGAUAUUUUGACACUUAUAACGUGAUAAAAAUAUUUCAUGUGUUAUUCCUGAAACAACCUUUAACUCUUUCUGUCAGGGUGUGUGCAUAUGUAUGCAUGUAUGUGUUCAUUCAAGCAUGCAUUUGCACAGAAUCGAAGUACUCAGAUUUUGUAUUUCUUCUUGACUGCUGAGCAUCUUCAAUGUGUAUUUUUUCAGCAGUUUUGUAAGAUGCAAUUUUAUUUUGUUUAGAUAAUAACUUUAACCUUUUUUUUUUGGUGAAGGGGAGAUGACAAGGUUGACUGAAGGUAGGAUGAAACUCGUGUUACAUAGUUAUAAAUAUUUACAGAAUCCAAACCUUUUCACGGCCAUGACAUGCACUAGUCCAUCAUGUCAUGCAUGUGCAUUCUUUUUUAAAUUUUUUGGGAACUAAUUCUUUUAACAUGUGGAGAAGUGUCUGUGUUUUCACCCAUACUUUUGCUUAUUAGAUGUCCGUACUUAGCUUAGGGACUGUAAAGACUAACCCUGUAGUAGCAUUGGAAGGGGCCAUAUGGCAAAUCAGCCUGGGCCCCAUGGCGAAAGUGCAGACAGGCCUAAUAAGGGCCCCAUGUUUGUUUUACCUGGGAGGCGGGGGGAAAUGAUGUAGAUCCCAUUGAAUUAUUGAGAUUUUCUUCAGGUAUUUUGGCAUAUUCUGAUUUACAUUGUUUUUAAAUCAGGAUAUGCCCAAACAAGAUUUGUCUUGCUUCUUGUGUGGACCUUUGCUCUGACAUCUCACUUCAAGAUACAUGUUCUUCAAAAGUAAUUCACACAGUUCAGCAGUGGAUAAAGGAAAUAACCAUAAAUGGAUCUAUCUUAGAUCUUACACCCACCUAAUGUUGAGAUAAGCACGUUCUAGCCAGUUUACCAAGUGAAAAAGCUGUCUGAAAAAAAGGGACUUUCCAAUUCUACAACAUACAAUGGAAAAGCAAAUAUGCUAACAAUUUUAACUUUUUUCCCUACUUUUCGUAAACCAUGUAGGCCAAACAGCAGAACAAAAUUAUUCCUAAUCAUUGUUUAUGAAAUGGAAUAUCUGGAGCAGUGUUUUAUUAAUUAUCGAGAUUUUGAAGACAAACACUAGGGACUGGUGGCAUGCUUAGUCUGCAAUCAGCCACAAAAGGAAAGAGAUUUUUCUGGAUGUUGAAGUUGCAUUUUCAAAGUAUUGCCACAAAAUUCUCUUACUUAAAAGUCCAUGUUUUUAUUUUUUAAAACAAACUUUGCCACAUAUCCUGGUGAGGACUUUCGGUUGUGCAGUGGUUAAAGCACUCACUAGUCACCACUGCAGAUAUAGGUCCUGGGUUCAGCUAUUGUCUUGGGACAUUCUCUGUAUGUGGCAUUUGUUUGCAGGGCCGGUUGUUGGCAAUUUAUUCUUGGCCCUCCAGUUUCCUUCACCAUCCCUCUUCCCUCAGAGCACAAAAUUACCUCUAGGGGGAUGCACUUUCUUGCCAAACAACCAACCAUAUCCUUGUGUCUCAUUUGAUCUACUGGAUACUGUUGUAUUAACUACUGAUGUGUUUAAAUGUAUGUUUCAAAAUGGAUACAAAGUUUUAAACUUGUGUUAUUAUUGAAUCUUGCAAAUUUUGACUUAUCUGCCCAUUCUUUUCUGCUUGGUACAUGUGAAGUAACUGGUUAUGAUCUGUUUUGGUUUUGUAAACAAUUUUAAUUUUAUUUUUAAGUAUUUGUUAUAGUUAAAUACCUUGCUUUGUUUAAUUUGUUUUUUUCUGAUAUCAAAUACUGUAAGUUUAUGACAACUUAAUAGUUGUAAUAUUCUCGCUUGCACAAGUUUAUGCAACGUUCGCAUUUUUAAAGUCAAAUAAAAAUACUGACAAUAUUUCAGAUCUGUGUCAUUUAUUACAUUGCAAAAGAUAUCUCUUCAAGGAGUCCUCACAUUGUGACUGACAAGAAUAAAUGAAUCGAUAACCUAUUUUCAAAAAUAUAAUGGACAGCACAAUUCCAUAAGCUAUAUUUUAAGCUGGUAUUUCAGAAGAAAAAAA
This 6030-nucleotide unclassified non-coding RNA is filed under the name Pomacea canaliculata. Its description in RNAcentral is "histone deacetylase 6-like, transcript variant X4". Lineage: Eukaryota; Metazoa; Mollusca; Gastropoda; Architaenioglossa; Ampullariidae. The record is from RNAcentral.